Long non-coding RNA from Carassius gibelio (silver crucian carp), 556 nucleotides. RefSeq lists it as uncharacterized. The record is from RefSeq and is a predicted model, not a curated record. The transcript is spliced from 2 exons. Lineage: Eukaryota; Metazoa; Chordata; Actinopteri; Cypriniformes; Cyprinidae.
AUUCUAACAAGCACACCAGGUGUCUGAUGCCAUUCUCCACCAGGAACUUGUAAUGCUGAGGUUCUGAGGGACAGGCCAGACCGGCGAGUUUGUGAGGUUCGACCCACGAGAAGUUCGGCGGAGCGACGAGAGACAUGACGAGAUGUUCGAGAAGCAGAAAAAGAAAGAAGAUAUCUGGACGGGGGAGAGGAGUAGUUGGACCAGGAAUGUCUGGUUUGGUUCAGCUACAACAGACAGCGAAGACCCAACCUCCAAGAUCUGUACACCUCCGGAGUAUUGAAGAGGGCUAAGAAAAUCACUUUAGACCCCAAACACCCAGCCCACUCUCUCUCCGUACUGUUGCCUUCUGGUCAGUGCUACAGACCAUCAUUUUCUGUUCUAAUUCCUGUGUAUGUCUGUACUGUCUGUAUGUUUGCACUAUGUCCAUACUUUCUUCUGCACUGGAAGCUCCUGUCGUCAAGUCAAAGUCCUCGUGUGUGGAAACAUACUUGGUAAUAAAGAUCUUUCUGACUUUCUGACAAGGGAGUAGGAGAGAUAAAAAGGUACAAAAGGCAAA